This 403-nucleotide ribosomal RNA is filed under the name bacterium. RNAcentral's name for it is "partial 16S ribosomal RNA". It matches the Rfam family "Bacterial small subunit ribosomal RNA", at positions 355 to 776 of the family's 1533-position model. The record is from RNAcentral.
UGGGGAAUAUUGCACAAUGGGGGAAACCCUGAUGCAGCGACGCCGCGUGAACGAAGAAGGUAUUCGUAUCGUAAAGUUCUGUCCUAUGGAAAGAUAAUGACAGUACCAUAGAAGAAAGCUCCGGCUAAAUACGUGCCAGCAGCCGCGGUAAUACGUAUGGAGCGAGCGUUGUCCGGAAUUAUUGGGCGUAAAGGGUACGCAGGCGGUUGAAUAAGUCGAAUGUUAAAGAUCGGGGCUCAACCCCGCAAAGCAUUGGAAACUGAUAAACUUGAGUAGUGGAGAGGAAAGUGGAAGUCCUAGUGUAGUGGUGAAAUACGUAGAUAUUAGGAGGAAUACCAGUAGCGAAGGCGACUUUCUGGACACAAACUGACGCUGAGGUACGAAAGCGUGGGGAGCAAACAGG